GUCUGUCUGAUACUUUUGCCAGGAACAGAUCAGGAAUGCAGUCUCAGAACUUGUUAGGUAACCAGGCACAGAGCAGGGAAGAAUACCUGAAGAAUGCAGCUGCGUGGGAAAUGGGUUUCCCAUCCUGCAAGACUUUUCAAGAUUUUGAGAGAGACAAAGAAGACUAACAUGGCUGCUACUCUGAAACCUGACCCCAUUUAGUCCUUCGUCUCUCAGCCAAGCCUGUCCAAGGAGGGGAGCAGGGAGCGCCCCUCUGUGGAGUGGAUCCCUGUCUACUAGGAACUGCAGAGAGACUCAGGAAAUCCAGCCAAAGGACAUGGAAACUGCUGCUGGAUAAUACAGUGAUGGGGGUAUGAGAGAGAUGAUCAAAGAAUCCUGGCGCUGGAGGAUCAAAAGCAAUGCACGUUGGGAAAAACUCCACAAAGACCAACAGACUACAUUUUUGCUUUCAAUUCUACAUGUGAAGGUAUUAAU
Molecule: long non-coding RNA, 474 nt
Organism: Chelonia mydas (Green sea turtle)
Lineage: Eukaryota; Metazoa; Chordata; Testudines; Cheloniidae
Exons: 3
Source: RefSeq, a predicted model, not a curated record